CAUUUCAUAUAAAACUUUGUAUGUUUUGUCUCCUCUGUAGGCAACAGUUAGCAUAAGUCACUCUUACAACGUACAAUUCAACUCCAUUCAGCCUUAUUACUAAAGCACCUCUAACACACACACACACAAAACAAACAGACAUAAUCACAUACAAUCAUAAUGUAAGUUGGUUUUUAGUUACUGUAGUGGUCUCAAAUCGGAGUACUUAAAAAGGAGGUGAUAUGGAAAACAAAAAUAUAUCGGAUUAAAAAGAUACUUCGCGUUACAGCUCCAAGUACAUUAGCAUGUGCGAUAUUUAAGCCUCCUUUUUAAAGGCAUUAGGUUUUAGACCACUGGAUGGGUAGAUGUUUAUAUGUAAAGAAAAAUUAAACAA
Sinocyclocheilus grahami is the source of this 373-nucleotide long non-coding RNA. RefSeq lists it as uncharacterized. The record is from RefSeq and is a predicted model, not a curated record. Lineage: Eukaryota; Metazoa; Chordata; Actinopteri; Cypriniformes; Cyprinidae. The transcript has 3 exons.